AGAGUUUGAUUCUGGCUCAGGAUGAACGCUAGCUACAGGCUUAACACAUGCAAGUCCGAGGGGCAGCAUUGGAGUAGCAAUACUCAGAUGGCGACCGGCGCACGGGUGAGUAACACGUAUCCAACCUGCCGCUUACUCGGGGAUAGCCUUUCGAAAGAAAGAUUAAUACCCGAUGGUAUAAAGAGUUCGCAUGUUCUCUUUAUUAAAGAAUUUCGGUAAGCGAUGGGGAUGCGUUCCAUUAGAUAGUUGGCGGGGUAACGGCCCACCAAGUCUACGAUGGAUAGGGGUUCUGAGAGGAAGGUCCCCCACAUUGGAACUGAGACACGGUCCAAACUCCUACGGGAGGCAGCAGUGAGGAAUAUUGGUCAAUGGACGAGAGUCUGAACCAGCCAAAGUAGCGUGAAGGAUGACUGCCCUAUGGGUUGUAAACUUCUUUUAUAAGGGAAUAAAGUGAGGGACGUGUCCCUUUUUGUAUGUACCUUAUGAAUAAGGAUCGGCUAACUCCGUGCCAGCCGCCGC
Molecule: ribosomal RNA, 519 nt
Filed under: uncultured bacterium
Lineage: Bacteria
Description: bacterial SSU rRNA
Rfam family: Bacterial small subunit ribosomal RNA
Source: RNAcentral